AGAGUUGAUCCUGGCUCAGGACGAACGCUGGCGGCGUGCCUAAUGCAUGCAAGUCGCACGCAGAGUGCUUGCACUCUGAGUGGCGCACGGCUGAGGAACUCGUGGGUACCUGCCUCCCAGUGGGGGAUAACAGCCCGAAAGGACUGCUAAUCCCGCAUACGCCUGGCUUCGGCCAAGGAAAGCAGCAAUGCGCUGGGAGAGGGGCCUGCGGCCCAUCACGGUUGUUGGCGGGGUAACGGCCCACCAAGCCUUUGACGGGUAGCUGGUCUGUGAGGACAACCAGCCAGACUGGGACUGAGAUACGGCCCAGACUCCUACGGGAGGCAGCAGCAAGGAAUUUUCCACAAUGGGCGCAAGCCUGAUGGAGCAACGCCGCGUGCAGGACGACGGCCUUCGGGUUGUAAACUGUCUUUUGGGGGGAAGACAUCGACGGUACCCCCGGAAUAAGCCUCGGCUAACUCUGUG
Molecule: ribosomal RNA, 465 nt
Filed under: uncultured bacterium
Lineage: Bacteria
Description: bacterial SSU rRNA
Rfam family: Bacterial small subunit ribosomal RNA
Source: RNAcentral